UGAUGCAGCCAUGCCGCGUGUGUGAAGAAGGCCUUCGGGUUGUAAAGCACUUUCAGUUGUGAGGAAAAGUUAGUAGUUAAUACCUGCUAGCCGUGACGUUAACAACAGAAGAAGCACCGGCUAACUCCGUGCCAGCAGCCGCGGUAAUACGGAGGGUGCGAGCGUUAAUCGGAAUUACUGGGCGUAAAGCGCACGCAGGCGGUUUGUUAAGCUAGAUGUGAAAGCCCCGGGCUCAACCUGGGAUGGUCAUUUAGAACUGGCAGACUAGAGUCUUGGAGAGGGGAGUGGAAUUCCAGGUGUAGCGGUGAAAUGCGUAGAUAUCUGGAGGAACAUCAGUGGCGAAGGCGACUCCCUGGCCAAAGACUGACGCUCAUGUGCGAAAGUGUGGGUAGCGAACAGGAUUAGAUACCCUGGUAGUCCACACCGUAAACGCUGUCUACUAGCUGUGUGUGCCUUUAAGGCGUGCGUAGCGAAGCUAACGCGCUAAGUAGACCGCCUGGGGAGUACGGCCGCAAGGUUAAAACUCAAAUG
RNAcentral lists this ribosomal RNA (531 nucleotides) under Alteromonas sp. Its description in RNAcentral is "bacterial SSU rRNA". It matches the Rfam family "Bacterial small subunit ribosomal RNA", at positions 384 to 907 of the family's 1533-position model. The record is from RNAcentral. Lineage: Bacteria; Pseudomonadati; Pseudomonadota; Gammaproteobacteria; Alteromonadales; Alteromonadaceae.